This 1185-nucleotide long non-coding RNA is filed under the name Equus asinus (donkey). RNAcentral describes it as "lncRNA (ENSEASG00005028386.1)". The record is from RNAcentral. Lineage: Eukaryota; Metazoa; Chordata; Mammalia; Perissodactyla; Equidae.
GCUGGGGCUGGCCCAGGGGCAUCUGGCCUGUCCUUUGCCCCAAAUCACCCCCUGUAGGCCAUCCAUGGCCUGGAGCAAAGCAACAGGUGAGGAGACACAGCAAGACUAACCCUCCAAGCCCUUCAGCCUCCUGGGAGGCAAGCGGCCUGGGUCUUGGCAGUGACUGUCCUUCCUCCCUUGUGACCCUGGGCAGCCACUGGCCCUCUCUGGGCCUUUCCCAUCUGUACCUGGAUGCUCCCUAGAGGCCUUUUGAUGCUCUUUUGUUUCUACAAGGGGAGGUGAAACCAGAAAGGGGCAGUGACAUGCCUAAAGUCACACAGCAGAGCAGAGGCCCGGACUUUCUCUUCUCCCCAGGGGUCCAGGCCUCCCACCCUCCAGCUGCUCCGAAUGCUUAGAAUGGGCCAUUCUCCUCUGGAGGCUGAGCACGGCCCUCUGGGAAGACAAAGACCCAUUGUGCUCGGCUUGACCCAGGUUCCUGGCCGAGGACCCACUACUUGAGGCUUGGGAGCUCAGAUGUUUGGGUGCCAGGUGGCACUCCAGCUAAGGCUGGGGUCCCUUGUGGCCCACUGUGGUCAGCUGGACAUGUCCAGAGCUUGGAGCCACAAUACCUGGGACUGAGUCUGGGAUCCAGGCCAGGCUGAAUGUUGUGUAUGUAGGGCCAUGUCAUGACAUGCGGGGCUGCCUGGGGCCUGUUGGAUUGUCACUGUCUGCAGGGCCAUGUGACAGAGAGAAUGUUGCACCACUGUAGCAUGCUGGAGCUUGUGGUAGAUCCGAUUCGGGACCCCGUGGCAGAGUGUUGGACUGUGCCGUGGCACGCUGCACUGUCUGAUUUUCUCAUUCAUUCACUGGGUAUUUGUUGAGCAUUUACUAUGUGCCAGGCUCUGUGCUAGGUGCUGAGUGUUCAAGGUUGGGCUAGACAGACACAGAUCCUGCUGUCAUGAAGCCUUCAAUCUAAUGGGAAGACACACAAAUAAAUAAGCAAAGAAACAUAUCAAUAAGUCAUUCCACAAUGUGCAGUGCUAUGAAGAUAUGCACAUGGCACAGGAACCUGAAGAAAUGCAGUGGUCAAGGAGAUCUCGGAGGGGAAUGGCAUUUGAACUGAAAUCGGAAAGAUAAGAAGGAGGCAGCCAUUCCUAGAGCCCAGGGGAGGUGCUUCAGGAAGCCAGGUCAGCAUAAACAAAGGCC